RNAcentral lists this unclassified non-coding RNA (630 nucleotides) under Trichophyton tonsurans. Lineage: Eukaryota; Fungi; Ascomycota; Eurotiomycetes; Onygenales; Arthrodermataceae. The record is from RNAcentral.
UCCGGGGUCGAUCCAGGCGCGCUCUACGGUCGAUUUGGAGGCGAUCGGUGUAUGUACCUCGCCGCCGGCGGACCCCUAUGGACCCUCCAAAAUCGAGUGGUCCCAGGGGGGCCGUUUUCUAGAAAUGGACCCUCUGGCCAAACGGACCCUCUGGCAGGACGGACCCUCUGGGCCAUUUUCACAAAAUGGACCCUCUGGCCGAGGGGCCACGGCCCCCCUAGGGGGGCCAUUCGGGGCCGAAAAAAAAAAGUGCUCCAAAUCGCUCCGGGGUCGAUCCAGGCGCGCUCUACGGUCGAUUUGGAGGCGAUCGGUGUAUGUACCUCGCCGCCGGCGGACCCCUAUGGACCCUCCAAAAUCGAGUGGUCCCAGGGGGGCCGUUUUCUAGAAAUGGACCCUCUGGCCAAACGGACCCUCUGGCAGGACGGACCCUCUGGGCCAUUUUCACAAAAUGGACCCUCUGGCCGAGGGGCCACGGCCCCCCUAGGGGGGCCAUUCGGGGCCGAAAAAAAAAAGUGCUCCAAAUCGCUCCGGGGUCGAUCCAGGCGCGCUCUACGGUCGAUUUGGAGGCGAUCGGUGUAUGUACCUCGCCGCCGGCGGACCCCUAUGGACCCUCCAAAAUCGAGUGGUCCC